RNAcentral lists this long non-coding RNA (784 nucleotides) under Homo sapiens (human). RNAcentral describes it as "HSALNT0190031". The record is from RNAcentral. Lineage: Eukaryota; Metazoa; Chordata; Mammalia; Primates; Hominidae.
CUGGGUUUGCUCUGUUUACCGCGGCCCCUGUCCACCCAAUAGAUCGAUUUUCACCCUUAUCCCUAAAUGCCAUACCUCACAAUCGCGCUUCCUAACCUUGGUGCGCGAGAGGAGGGGGCUAGGUUGUUGGAGGAGGUGAGUCCAAGUCCCAGGAAAUCCAGCCCAGGAUUUGGGAGAGAAAUCCAGCCCUGGAUUUUGCACCGCCCUCGCAGACAUCGGUGCUGGUGGAGAAAAGGUGGGGGGGAGAUAGGGUGGGGGGGCCUGGGGGCCGCCUCCUCCUCAAUGUGAGGGGAGCGCCCGGACACAGCGCGCAUCCGGACCAAGCCGAGCCCAGGCGAGGCCCCCGGACUCUUCGCCCGGAUCUCACGCCCCUCCCCUCCCAGACCCCAGACCCGUGGGUUCCCACCCACCUCCCGUUCCCUCUUUCCUCCCCCGCCGCCUCCUGUAUCUCCAUCCCCAGCAUCCUCCCCGCGCCCCUGCGAAUCCCCCGCACGGCCAGCCCCACUAGCUUCCCACCCUCCUCUAGACCCUCUUUCCGACCGCAUCCGCGGCCCCUGUCCCUUGAGUCCCAAUUCCCCGCCCCUGCCUCCCCCGCACAGGUUCGUUUCCCCUAGCCUCCGGUCCCCUUUUCUGCUCCCUUUUCCUCUCUCUCCCCCAUUUGCCCCCACUACUGUCCUCCCCGCCCUCCCCCACCCAUCUCAGCGCCCCCACCCAGGCCGGGGUGGACGGUCCGGCGCGCCUCCCUGGAGCAGCACCAAGGUCCCGGGGCUCCAAGAGGGUGGGG